AAAAUAUGCGAUGUGAAUAACUAUAUUGCUAUCCACGAGAAUCAUACCGUUCAGCUAACUUAAUAUGGAUAAAUAAAGCUUUCUUUACCUCAAAUGAGAUGAAAUUCGUGCUAUAUUUAAAUAACUUGAAACACAUCACGAAUUUAGCGCUACCAUGUGUACCAUGUUAGACAAAGGCCGGGGGGACCAAGAGUAUGAGAAAGAUGAGUCAAGGAACGAGAGUUCAAGUGAUGAGAAUAUCCUCGUCAAGAAAAGGAGCCUUACUAGACCCACAAAAACACCAUAAAAGGAAAUAAAUACCAAUAUGAAAAAUACCCAUUUGAGUGUUUCUACCAGUAAGUUUCCUAAUUUUACUUUGUUAGAAAAUAGAUUUAUUUUUUAGAUUUUGAUAACUAUAUCGGCGAUACAACAGAAGUUAGAAAACUUGACCAGACAUAUAAUAUGCCCUCUACUUCUGGAAAUUAUUACCAAUAGAUUAGAAGAUGAAUGUUGGACCAGAAACCUAACAAAUGUUCCAGUUCUAUUUCAAAUACCCAUAUUGGUAAAUCCAUGGAAAACGUAAGCAGAUCAGGAAACUUAGAUGUGGAACUUUGAUAUGGAAAACAAAAACUCAUAUAACGAACACAAUGGAACAAAUAUUUACAAAACCAGGCAGUAACUGAAGAUAUAGUGAACAUCAUCAAAGAAAAAGAAGUACUCAUGCUCAUGCUCGCAUUAGAAAUUGGUAUGAUACCCCUUAUGAUAAAAUGAAAAUUUUUUUGUCCGUAAUACUGUGGACGGGAAUUAUCCGGUUAACUUAAGUCAAGGAUUAGUGGUAAACAAAUAACAUAUGUACAAAUGAAAUAAACACUAUUUUAACAAGAAAUAGGUUUGAAAUACUGGUAAGAACAUGGCAUUUCGGUGACAACUUCAAUCCUCCAGAAAAUGUUCGGCUUUAAAUGAAGACAUCCUUGACAGAUAUGCAUUUUCCAAUACGUCUAUGUACCAGAAGAAGAAUUUUGUACUGAUAAGACACUAACUUCCUUUCCGUCUAAGCCAUAUAUUCCAAAUAAGCGGCACAAAUAAAAUUACUGUGUUUUCAAUGCGGUUACAUAUAUGACUUGAAGGUAUAGUGCGGCAAAUACAAAACUGGUGAUAUAAAUACUUCAAAAGAAGAAAACUCAUCAAUGGUUUUUGUGAGAAGACAUUGAGAUGAAAUGGAAAAACUGACAAUAGUUUUAGAUUAGAUAUCAUAAAGCCUUUAUAGAUCUUUCUGUUCAGUUGAAAUCAUAUUCCACCGGUUUACACUCAGAGAUCAAAUGAUAAUUAAUAGCAUUAGAGCAGAUAAUAGGAAGUACGGUAAUAAAUGCAAAACAUAAGACGAUAAUAGAGAAAAAAUAUCCGUUUGACAAGUUUGACAAGACAUCCCAAGUCUAAUCGAAUUAGCGUCAACCAUGUUUUA
Diorhabda sublineata is the source of this 1441-nucleotide long non-coding RNA. RefSeq lists it as uncharacterized. The record is from RefSeq and is a predicted model, not a curated record. The transcript has 4 exons. Lineage: Eukaryota; Metazoa; Arthropoda; Insecta; Coleoptera; Chrysomelidae.